GCCCAGUGAUGAGACCAAGGCGAAUACGAGCUUACUGAAUGAGAGUUGGGUUCUUCUUUGCCUUGACUGGCAGGUAAUCUUGGCAGUGCAGAGGAGUAUUCCUGCUCUGCUGUAAGGGCCUGCCUACAGUGACUUGGCUCGACCCAAAUUAUUCCUUUACAGUCACUGCGGAAUAUUUGCUGGGCUAAAGCUGACAGUGUGUGUGUGUGUGUGUGUGUUGUAUGUGUUGUGUGUGUGUGUGUGUGUGUGUAAGAGGCAAGAAGUUCACCCAACUCUCUUUGCUGUUCAGUUAGCAAUGAGUUGCUUCUUUGGUAAUCUGAGGGCA
RNAcentral lists this small nucleolar RNA (325 nucleotides) under Sander lucioperca (pikeperch). The record is from RNAcentral. Lineage: Eukaryota; Metazoa; Chordata; Actinopteri; Perciformes; Percidae.